Long non-coding RNA from Oxyura jamaicensis (ruddy duck), 157 nucleotides. RefSeq lists it as uncharacterized. NCBI's taxonomy places the organism in Eukaryota, Metazoa, Chordata, Aves, Anseriformes, Anatidae. The transcript has 3 exons. The record is from RefSeq and is a predicted model, not a curated record.
GGCUUGUGUAAAAACUGGUUCAAUUUUCUUUUUGCCUCGUGACUUAAGAAUGUGUUAUUGUGGUUUCUACUUGCCUGGGGAGGAAGAGGGAAAGACAGCCUUUUUCUACCCAACCAGUAUAGUUUUUCAAACUUAAGAUGAGACAACAGGUAAUACA